GAUGAACGCUAGCUACAGGCUUAACACAUGCAAGUCGAGGGGAAACGACAUCGAAAGCUUGCUUUUGAGGGGCGUCGACCGGCGCACGGGUGAGUAACGCGUAUCCAACCUGCCCACCACUUGGGGAUAACCUUGCGAAAGUAAGACUAAUACCCAAUGAUAUCUCUAGAAGACAUCUGAAAGAGAUUAAAGAUUUAUCGGUGAUGGAUGGGGAUGCGUCUGAUUAGCUUGUUGGCGGGGUAACGGCCCACCAAGGCGACGAUCAGUAGGGGUCCUGAGAGGAAGGUCCCCCACAUUGGAACUGAGACACGGUCCAAACUCCUACGGGAGGCAGCAGUGAGGAAUAUUGGUCAAUGGGCGAGAGCCUGAACCAGCCAAGUAGCGUGCAGGAUGACGGCCCUAUGGGUUGUAAACUGCUUUUAUAAGGGAAUAAAGUGAGCCUCGUGAGGCUUUUUGCAUGUACCUUAUGAAUAAGGACCGGCUAAUUCCGUGCCAGCAGCCGCGGUAA
RNAcentral lists this ribosomal RNA (508 nucleotides) under uncultured bacterium. RNAcentral's name for it is "partial 16S ribosomal RNA". It matches the Rfam family "Bacterial small subunit ribosomal RNA", at positions 28 to 523 of the family's 1533-position model. The record is from RNAcentral.